RNAcentral lists this ribosomal RNA (415 nucleotides) under uncultured bacterium. RNAcentral describes it as "bacterial SSU rRNA". It matches the Rfam family "Bacterial small subunit ribosomal RNA", at positions 355 to 786 of the family's 1533-position model. The record is from RNAcentral.
UCGGGAAUAUUGCGCAAUGGAGGAAACUCUGACGCAGUGACGCCGCGUAUAGGAAGAAGGUUUUCGGAUUGUAAACUAUUGUCGUUAGGGAAGAGAAAGGACAGUACCUAAGGAGGAAGCUCCGGCUAACUACGUGCCAGCAGCCGCGGUAAUACGUAGGGAGCGAGCGUUAUCCGGAAUUAUUGGGUGUAAAGGGUGCGUAGACGGGAUAACAAGUUAGUUGUGAAAUCCCUCGGCUUAACUGAGGAACUGCAACUAAACUAUUAUUCUUGAGUGCAGGAGAGGUAAGUGGAAUUCCUAGUGUAGCGGUGAAAUGCGUAGAUAUUAAGGAGGAACACCAGUGGCGAAGGCGGCUUACUGGACGGUAACUGACGUUGAGGCUCGAAAGCGUGGGGAGCAAACAGGAUUAGAUACC